AGAGUUUGAUCAUGGCUCAGGACGAACGCUGGCGGCGUGCUUAACACAUGCAAGUCGAACGGAAAGGCCCGCUUGCGGGUACUCGAGUGGCGAACGGGUGAGUAACACGUGGGCAACCUGCCCUCAGCUCUGGGAUAACUCCGGGAAACCGGGGCUAAUACUGGAUAUCAACUUCUGCCUCGCAUGGGGUGUUGUUGAAAGUUUUUCGGCUGGGGAUGGGCCCGCGGCCUAUCAGCUUGUUGGUGGGGUGAUGGCCUACCAAGGCGACGACGGGUAGCCGGCCUGAGAGGGCGACCGGCCACACUGGGACUGAGACACGGCCCAGACUCCUACGGGAGGCAGCAGUGGGGAAUAUUGCGCAAUGGGCGGAAGCCUGACGCAGCGACGCCGCGUGAGGGAUGACGGCCUUCGGGUUGUAAACCUCUUUCAGCUCUGACGAAGCGAGAGUGACGGUAGGAGCAGAAGAAGCACCGGCCAACUACGUGCCAGCAGCCGCGGUAAUACGUAGGGUGCAAGCGUUAUCCGGAUUUAUUGGGCGUAAAGAGCUCGUAGGCGGUUCGGUAAGUCGGGUGUGAAAACUCUGGGCUCAACCCAGAGAGGCCACCCGAUACUGCUGUGACUAGAGUGCGGUAGGGGAGCGGGGAAUUCCUGGUGUAGCGGUGAAAUGCGCAGAUAUCAGGAGGAACACCAGCGGCGAAGGCGCCGCUCUGGGCCGUAACUGACGCUGAGGAGCGAAAGCAUGGGUAGCAAACAGGAUUAGAUACCCCGGUAGUCCACGCCGUAAACGAUGGAUGCUAGCCGUUGGUGGGUUUACCCUUCAGUGGCGCAGCUAACGCAUUAAGCAUCCCCCCCUGGGGAGUACGGUCGCAAGAUUAAAACUCAAAGG
Molecule: ribosomal RNA, 886 nt
Filed under: uncultured bacterium
Lineage: Bacteria
Description: bacterial SSU rRNA
Rfam family: Bacterial small subunit ribosomal RNA
Source: RNAcentral